UGAAUGGGAAGCAGACGGAAAUUUG
RNAcentral lists this non-coding RNA (25 nucleotides) under Mus musculus (house mouse). Lineage: Eukaryota; Metazoa; Chordata; Mammalia; Rodentia; Muridae. The record is from RNAcentral.